Molecule: ribosomal RNA, 500 nt
Filed under: uncultured bacterium
Lineage: Bacteria
Description: partial 16S ribosomal RNA
Rfam family: Bacterial small subunit ribosomal RNA
Source: RNAcentral
AUUGAACGCUGGCGGAAUGCUUUACACAUGCAAGUCGAACGGCAGCACGGACUUCGGUCUGGUGGCGAGUGGCGAACGGGUGAGUAAUAUAUCGGAACGUGCCCAGUCGUGGGGGAUAACGUAGCGAAAGCUACGCUAAUACCGCAUACGGUCUACGGAUGAAAGCGGGAGAUCGCAAGACCUCGCGCGAUUGGAGCGGCCGAUAUCAGAUUAGGUAGUUGGUGAGGUAAAGGCUCACCAAGCCGACGAUCUGUAGCUGGUCUGAGAGGACGACCAGCCACACUGGGACUGAGACACGGCCCAGACUCCUACGGGAGGCAGCAGUGGGGAAUUUUGGACAAUGGACGCAAGUCUGAUCCAGCCAUUCCGCGUGCAGGACGAAGGCCUUCGGGUUGUAAACUGCUUUUGUACAGAACGAAAAGGUCUCUAUUAAUACUAGGGGCUCAUGACGGUACUGUAAGAAUAAGCACCGGCUAACUACGUGCCAGCCGCCGCGGUAA